UACAGAGGCCUCGAGCGUUAGGCGGAAUCACUGGGCUUAAAGCGUGUGUAGGCGGAUUGGUAAGUACCUUGUGAAAUCCCACAGCUUAACUGUGGAACUGCUCGGUAUACUGCUGAUCUUGAGCCACUCAGGGCUACCGGAACAAAUGGUGGAGCGGUGAAAUGCGUAGAUAUCAUUGGAACGCCAAUGGUGAAACAGGUAGCUGGGGUGUGACUGACGCUGAGACACGAAAGCCAGGGGAGGCAAACGGG
RNAcentral lists this ribosomal RNA (251 nucleotides) under uncultured bacterium. RNAcentral's name for it is "partial 16S ribosomal RNA". It matches the Rfam family "Bacterial small subunit ribosomal RNA", at positions 524 to 776 of the family's 1533-position model. The record is from RNAcentral.